Molecule: ribosomal RNA, 483 nt
Filed under: uncultured bacterium
Lineage: Bacteria
Description: partial 16S ribosomal RNA
Rfam family: Bacterial small subunit ribosomal RNA
Source: RNAcentral
GACGAACGCUGGCGGCGUGCUUAACACAUGCAAGUUGAACGGUGAACCGGGCUUCGGCCCGGGGAUCAGUGGCGAACGGGUGCGUAACACGUGGGCAACCUGCCCCAGACACUGGGAUAACCCCGGGAAACCGGGGCUAAUACCGGAUACUCCGCUCGGACCGCAUGGUCCGAUCGGGAAAGCUCCGACGGUCUGGGAUGGGCCCGCGGCCUAUCAGCUCGUUGGUGGGGUAACGGCCUACCAAGGCGACGACGGGUAGCUGGUCUGAGAGGACGACCAGCCACACUGGAACUGAGAUACGGUCCAGACUCCUACGGGAGGCAGCAGUGGGGAAUCUUGCACAAUGGGCGAAAGCCUGACGCAGCGACGCCGCGUGGGGGACGAAGGCCCUCGGGUUGUAAACCCCUUUCGGCAGGGAAGAAGCGCAAGUGACGGUACCUGCAGAAGAAGCUCCGGCUAACUACGUGCCAGCCGCCGCAGUAA